Molecule: microRNA precursor, 65 nt
Filed under: Hippoglossus hippoglossus (Atlantic halibut)
Lineage: Eukaryota; Metazoa; Chordata; Actinopteri; Pleuronectiformes; Pleuronectidae
Description: miR-430 microRNA precursor family
Source: Rfam by way of RNAcentral
UGAUCACCUCAAAUAGAGCCACUCAUGAUUACUGGCUUCAUAAGUGCUUCUCUUUGGGGUUGUCU